Heterocephalus glaber (naked mole-rat) is the source of this 4862-nucleotide long non-coding RNA. RefSeq lists it as uncharacterized. The record is from RefSeq and is a predicted model, not a curated record. NCBI's taxonomy places the organism in Eukaryota, Metazoa, Chordata, Mammalia, Rodentia, Bathyergidae.
AUUAGUCACUCCGCUGAGUGAUUCAAAGGGGUCUGCACGCUGGAAUUGCCCCUCUCCUGCCGGGAAGUGGGGACGGGGAACGCCCGGCUGCGCCCCAGGUCGGGCCGCUGGAACCCCACUCCAAAGGAGUUGGAACAGCAAUCGACAAAUGGGGGAACAGAUCAAACAGGACGCCUCAAGGGGGAGCUGAGCCACGAGGACGGGCCAGAGGGUCCGGGGCCCCAAGGCUGGAACAAAGGCCGCCCUCAAGCGCCCAGGGCGCGGCGCCAUCCAGUCCUGUCCGGCGCGGUCCCCAGGGACGCCGCCGUGACCAGGAGCUGCCUCUCCGUGCCGAGCAAGCGGAGGGGCUAAUUAGUGCUUUUAAUAUGCAAAUCAGGGCCCGGGCAGAUUCAUCCGGGGCACAAAACCAGCCGGUGAAUAUGUUAUUUUAAUUAUUACUCCCAAGGAGAUAGGGUCUGGCUUAAGAGGGUGGGCAGGCCAGCGGGGUGACGCUGUGUAGAAGGACCCUGGUGAAGGCGACACACCCAGCUGGGAAGGGCCUGCUUCGCGGGUGUGGACGGAGGGAGCAUGCAGGGGCCGCCUGUGGGCCGACAGCUGCUCCCUCAGGCCUCUGCCACAGUGACACGCGCAGGAGCCCGGUGAACACAGUCGCCGUUCAUUCGUUCGUGCAGUGGACAUUUCCUGGUGGUCCAGCAUGUGCCAAGCCCUGCACCAGAGCGAGGAAGGACACGUUCAUUUGGGAAGUCCAUUUUCCCCACGAUCCGAUCCUCUGUGUCACAUUGGCUGCUGGGACUCCAGACCCCGAUUCAGACUUCAAGGCAGCCAGGACACGAAAAGACCCUCAUGAAGGAGCACUCCCAGAACUGCUUCAGAAAGUGGCAAGAACAAUGGGAUAAUCGAGGAGGAGUAUUCUGAAGGAGAUUAAUGGCAGCAUGUCUUUUACUAUAGUAACAUUUUAAACAUUUAAAUGCCAUAUUUUCUGAUCAUACUGCACAGUUUGAGAAGUCACAUACCAUGACUUCCGCCACUUUCUGUUAGAAGCAGGUUGCUAAGUAUGGCCCACACUUCUUUUUUUUUUUUGAGAGAGGGUCUUUCUUGUAGUUCAAGUGAGCCUUGAACUCACUAUGUAGCCCAGGCUGGCCUCGAACUUGUGGCAAUUUUCCUGCCUCAGCCUCCCGAGUGCUGGGAUUAUAGGCAGGCGCCACCAUGCGUGGCCCCAGGUGAGAACAUUAAACUCCAAAGAAUCCAGUGUAUGGUGUUAAUAGCCGAUACUGGCUUCAUGCUGAUCUGAUGGGUGGCUGAAGGAGACGUGAACUGAGUUGAGAGGUGUCCUUUUCUUGGGGGGACUACUUUGAAUUGCUUGGAGAACAGGCUUGCUGCAUGGAUGGGGUGGCAAUCAGUAGACUCCCGCUCAGAAACAGUGCUGCUUGGCCCUCUUGGAAUCCGGAUGCCUACUACAGAGCUACGGAGGCGUGUGGGGCAGGGUUGUCCUCAGCGCCUGGGGCAGGUGUGCAGGUGACAGGCAUAGACCUGCUGGGUGCAGACCCACAGCCCUUACAGUCUGGGAAGCAGGCAGGAGGUGGAGAGACGCUGCGUCUCUGUAGGGUACAUGCCUGAGCUGCUUGGCAUUCAUUCCCAUGCUCACCCACAGCCUCCACUGAGCACCUGGUGGCUGCAAUGAAGGACACGGAGACGGGGAGGGACCUGCAGCAGUCACGCUGACUGGCCUCCUGAAGUCAGGUUGACAGGGCCACCAGCGGCUGGCCAUGUUCCAGUCAGCUCAGACUUCACUUCCAUUUAGGGUUUCUGUGCUGGGCACAAAUCCGUCUGUCCUCAAACCACUGUCAGUGGAACCUUCGAGUCAGCUUCCUGCUGGGGAAUUUGAAUGUCAUGUAUAGAUCCAGUCAGUUCUUUCUUUCAAGGACCAAGGCUUUUCUGAUCCCCCAGCUUAACAUUUCUCAUCACCCUGGUGGAAAAUUGGAUAGUCCCAGGAUAGGAUUCUCACUGCCUCUCAAAGAAGCCCAUCAUACCACCACAGUCCCUUCUUUUGUGGACAGAAAAUGGUCUUCCUGCGAGUCCAAAUAUUGGCUGUCCUUCUGCCGCUGGAAGCCCAGCAGGUUCCUCCUGUUGCAUCAGGACUGGAACAGCUUGUGAGAAAGCUGUGGAUGCAGAUAGCCUGGGUGCCUCCUGCCCUCCUGCUGACCAGGGAUGUGAACUUGAGGAAGUACCUGGAGCUUCUGAGCUCUAGCUUCUUCACCGAAAGGGAAAUAAUGCAGUGCUGACCUCAGAGUGAUGUUGAGUGAAUCACGUGGGCGAAUGCUUGAGGAAUGCUGGUGUAAAGGAUGCACUAAAAAAAAUAUGGCCAUCCUAUUGUUAUUGUCAUUUUCCAAAGCAAUGGGCCCUACAACGUUAAGGCAGGGGAAUGAGUUGAUAAGCAAGUGGAGGUUAAUAAAUCUUAGAACUUUGGGCAAAAGCAUGCAUUCUGAAUUACAAGGGAGGAUUCCAUUAUUAUAUGGAAUUAUGAAACAAGGUUGGGCUUAUGAACAAUGAUUGUUCUUGAAUAUAUUAAUAUACAGAGAAAACCUAUGGGGGAGGCAAGAGAAGGAAGAGGACGGGACACAGGGAGAACCUGAGCUGCAGCUCAGGGGCCUCGGACAGCUUUGGUGGACCCCAUGGUGAUCUCAGGACCCCGAAGGCCCUUCCUCGUUGUCCCAAGUUGGGCUGAUGUGGUCAGCCCUUUGUGUUCCCAAUGGAUCAGUUUGUGUGUGGGCUGCACUGGAAGGGAGGUGACCUUGGCUGGAGGAUUCAUGAGGCUGAGGUAAUCCCUGCAGGAGCCAAGAGCUGAAGUUUGUCCGCCAGUGGCACUCCAGCAGGGGAACACAAGCCCCGGUGAAGAGGGCCCGGGUGGGCUGUCGCAGGGCCCUGCACAGUCCACCCCUUGUGCCACUGGGAUGCACUUCUUCAGGUUUGUCCUGGGUGUCCCUCCUUUAGGGUCCAGGUGGACCUCUGCUCCUGAGAAGAGGAAGGUUGUGGGGCCACUGGGGCUGGAACUGCAGCCAGUCCCAGGCUCACUAGUGGCUAGUUGCUGUCUCAUCUCCCUUCUGCACUAGUCCCUUUGGGUCCCCUCUCUCCGCUGGCACUGUUCUGCUCUAGCAGACUGCAUGAGGGUCUCUGACUCCUAGACACCAUGUUCCUCCUGGAACCAGGUCCCUGCACUUUAUCAUUUACCUCCACAGUUGGGUAGUGGAAUAUUGAGAGUUGGCCUGUGGUCUGCCUGGGUGCCAAACGUGGUCUUCCUCGCCCUCACUGCGUGGCACCUGGGCUGCUUUCCUUGUUGAUGAAUCCGGGGCAACCUGCUGUGUCAGGAUGGUGACUCGUGUGUGGGGCCUGGGAUCCUGAAGCAUCUGGCAGCACUUGAAGGGUGUAACCAAGUGGGCUUCUUGGCAGUCUCUGCGUGGAGUUGUUCUUCACGAGAACAGCACCUCUACAUCUAUAGGGGUCAAGAUUGUGGGGACAGGAAGUACAAAUGAGUGCCCCAGAUGAGUCACUGCAGGCUGUGGUGGGCAGGAAUUCUUAGUCUGUUGAAGCUACCGUAACACAGUACCACAGAUUGGGUGGUCUAAACUAUAGACGUUUAUUUCUUCACAGCCCGAGAUCAAGAUGCUCUGUGAAGCCUCUCUCCUUGGCUUGCAGAUGUCUGUAUUCCUCUGUGGGUGUCUACAUCCUACUCUUCUCAGAAGGAUGCCGGUCAUAUUGCAUUAGGGCCCAACAACAUGACCUCAUUUUUUACCUUAGUCACCCUUUUAAAGGUUCUGCUUCCAAUUACCAUCUUAUUCUGUGGUAGUAGAAGUUAGGGUUUCAACAUAUGCAUUGGGGGAAGGAAGCACAGUUGAGCCUGCAAUAUGCUUCUGUGUCUCCCUCCCAUAGUCCUGAAUUGCAUCCUUCUGAUCUAUGCAUUCUCCCUAUUAGGGCACAGUGCUACAUAAAGGACUAGGAUUUAAGUGGCAUAUUGUACCCUGGAGGAGGAUACCCCAUCUUUGCAAAGCAUUACUUUAACCUGGGAUACGGUUGUGGCUGUACAGCAGUCUAGAUACUGAGUAGUGUAGAAAUGGCCGCUGGAUUGAAUGCUCAUGGCCACUCCUGCACCUCUGCUGCCACAAAGGGCAUUUCUAUCUGAGGAAGAGGACAUGGAAUCUUGUGCCUAGGAUCAAAUGCCCCAUCUCCCCUUGGACAAUGGUGAUGGCUGACAUCCUGUGGGCAAGAAAUGAAAAACCAUACCUGGCACAUAAGUCUGGUGUUUGGGGAUAGAAGGGACCCAAUGUAGUCCACUUGCCACCGAGUCCCACAUGGUGCCAUACUGGGACUCGGUGUUAGGCUCUGUUCCAUUAGAUUGCUCACUUGGGGGUGGCAGUAGCCCUUCAGCCUGGGAAAGGGGGAGCACAGGCUGUUGGAGCCCUGUGCAGUCUGCACAGCCACUUGGCUCCUGUGGCCUUCGUGGUAGUGCUGGGGUGGCUGGUGACAGAGUCUGGCUGAGUCACCUGUCAUCAUUUUAGCCAUCAUUCCCAGAGCCGUCUUGCUGGUUUGCACUGUUCUUGCAUCCUUGCCAGGAGGUCGGACCCUGUGUGUGAGAGAGCAAAUCCAAUUGGUCGAAUCUCCCUUUUCCAGCCCUGGCCCCUUGACCAAGCACCCUCAGAUGCCAGUGUUCUGGCAGGCUCCUGGUGGCACUUUUCAGGUGGGCACUGAAACGCCUUUGGUGUCGAUGUUCCCCUGUGGGUCAUGCUGGAGCUUAACCCUGGUCAUGGGCCUGUUGGGAGCAAUGCUACAUAAUUUUAGGGUAAAAUCAUUUGGUUAGCCUAGUUCUC